This 231-nucleotide small nuclear RNA is filed under the name Carassius auratus (goldfish). RNAcentral's name for it is "U2 spliceosomal RNA (ENSCARG00000033972.1)". The stretch from base 1 to 142 matches the Rfam family "U2 spliceosomal RNA". From Rfam's summary of the family: U2 is a small nuclear RNA (snRNA) component of the spliceosome (involved in pre-mRNA splicing). Lineage: Eukaryota; Metazoa; Chordata; Actinopteri; Cypriniformes; Cyprinidae. The record is from Rfam by way of RNAcentral.
AUCGCUUCUCGCCUUUUGGCUAAGAUCAAGUGUAGUAUCUGUUCUUACCAGAUGGACACUUCAAGAGAAGAGAUUCGGUUGCCGACCACGAUGGUGCGGCUGAAAAAUACUGUCAGAGUUCAAGUGAAGAAAGGAAGCUGAAAAUGGAGAUUAAGAAGAGGUUUGGACGGGAUUUCGUCGUUGUCGAGGUGUUAAGAGGAGUUUUUGGAAUUCCUGCGUCCCUGAUCUUUG